RNAcentral lists this ribosomal RNA (376 nucleotides) under uncultured prokaryote. Its description in RNAcentral is "bacterial SSU rRNA". It matches the Rfam family "Bacterial small subunit ribosomal RNA", at positions 524 to 896 of the family's 1533-position model. The record is from RNAcentral.
GACGUAAGGGGCUAGCGUUGUCCGGAAUUACUGGGCGUAAAGAGCACGUAGGCGGCCUAGCAAGCGGCGGGUGAAAUCCCACGGCUCAACCGUGGAACUGCUUGCCGAACUGCUAAGCUUGAGCACGGGAGAGGGCAGUGGAAUUCCUGGUGUAGCGGUGGAAUGCGUCAAUAUCAGGAGGAACACCGGUGGCGAAGGCUGCUGCCUGGAACGUUGCUGACGCUGAGGUGCGAAAGCUAGGGGAGCGAACGGGAUUAGAUACCCCGGUAGUCCUAGCCGUAAACGAUGGGUGCUAGGUGUUGGAGGCUUCGACCCCUUCAGUGCUGUUAAGCUAACGCGUUAAGCACCCCGCCUGGGGAGUACGGCCGCAAGGUUG